GGAGAGAUGGCUGAGUGGCCGAAAGCGCCGGAUUGCUAAUCCGGUGUGUCGGAUUUCCCGGCACCGCGGGUUCGAAUCCCGCUCUCUCCG
This 90-nucleotide transfer RNA is filed under the name Planctomycetaceae bacterium. RNAcentral describes it as "tRNA-Ser". It matches the Rfam family "tRNA". Rfam says of the family: Transfer RNA (tRNA) molecules are approximately 80 nucleotides in length. Their secondary structure includes four short double-helical elements and three loops (D, anti-codon, and T loops). Further hydrogen bonds mediate the characteristic L-shaped molecular structure. tRNAs have two regions of fundamental functional importance: the anti-codon, which is responsible for specific mRNA codon recognition, and the 3' end, to which the tRNAs corresponding amino acid is attached (by aminoacyl-tRNA synthetases). tRNAs cope with the degeneracy of the genetic code in two manners: having more than one tRNA (with a specific anti-codon) for a particular amino acid; and 'wobble' base-pairing, i.e. permitting non-standard base-pairing at the 3rd anti-codon position. Lineage: Bacteria; Pseudomonadati; Planctomycetota; Planctomycetia; Planctomycetales; Planctomycetaceae. RNAcentral also lists the same sequence under 1 other name. The record is from RNAcentral.